This 776-nucleotide small RNA is filed under the name Arabidopsis thaliana (thale cress). RNAcentral describes it as "ATSL258140". The record is from RNAcentral. Lineage: Eukaryota; Viridiplantae; Streptophyta; Magnoliopsida; Brassicales; Brassicaceae.
UUUUGUAAAUUUAAUUGUGGUUGCUAAAAUGAAAGAGGGAAGCAAGUGAGGUCACAAAACCAAUCAGUUAACCGGCAAUCCGGCAUGUACUAGUUAGGAAAUUAGGGGUUUUAAGGAUAUUUCGUUACCACUUCGUUACAAAAAAGUUAUUAUAUGUAAGAAAGCAAAAGCAAAAGAAAAGGUAGAAUUUUGUUGAUGAUAUGUCAUUGUGACAGUGAUAAAAAAAAGUUAUUGAUAUGUUGUUGUAAGAGUGAUUUGGUGAAGUUUAUGUUGUUGUUUCAAAUGAUGCCUUUCAAGGAGAUAAAGAGAACUCAAUAUAUUUAUAUAUAACUAAAGCAUAGCAUGAAUAACUAGUGCAUAUACUCAACAUAAAUGGAUUUGGACACAGGCCUCUAAAGUCCUAAGCACGGCACUGGUCUCAAACACUCUUGUUCCUGGACUUGAUGCGGCGACCGGACUACAGAAUAUUGAAGAUGAUUGUGUUUUAGAUUGAUUCUGAAAUCUGAAUGAUAGAUACUGAUUUGACGUUGAUAAACUCCUUAUGUUUCAAUUCACGCCUUAUGUUUUAUUACAUUUUUACGUUGUUAUCUUAUAGGAUUUCUAUUUAAUUUGUUGAGGUAAAUUAAGUUUGUUGUGUUAUUUCAUGGUAUAUAUAUAACAUUAUUUUCAAUUCAAGAUAUUAUAACGCACCUACAAAAUUUUGUUUUGACAUCUCCGCAUUAAAUCAAAUGAUACAAACUUUGAGUACUUUUAAGUCGUUCUUAUCUAUAAAAAAA